GCAUCUCUUGAUUUGUCUUGACUCACAAUUAGCGAGGCUCAGAUUUACUUUCAAGUCUUCAACUGCUUCUUUGGUUGACCUAUUGCGCUCGUGAUUGGUUAAUCUGACAGAGUUAUCUCACAAUACACCUGGAAACACCAAUGCAUUGGAACACACCAAUCAGUAAGAGUGGAAUUGUAGCGGAGUGAUCAUCAAAUAUUUGAAAUAUGUAAAAUCCGUUUCCAGCCACCAUUGAUAAACCAAUCAGAAACAAAACAACAGCAACGAUACCUAGGAUUGACAGCUCCUUCCAACAGUCCAAAUGCCGAGUCAAUUCCCAAGAGGAUCAACAUGAAGAAAAAUAGGACCGCCCAAAAUGGCG
This is a long non-coding RNA of Dendronephthya gigantea, 361 nucleotides long. RefSeq lists it as uncharacterized. The transcript is spliced from 3 exons. The record is from RefSeq and is a predicted model, not a curated record. Lineage: Eukaryota; Metazoa; Cnidaria; Anthozoa; Malacalcyonacea; Nephtheidae.